UAACGAUACAGCCUUACAUGU
RNAcentral lists this non-coding RNA (21 nucleotides) under Caenorhabditis elegans. The record is from RNAcentral. Lineage: Eukaryota; Metazoa; Nematoda; Chromadorea; Rhabditida; Rhabditidae.